UACAUGGGGUGCAAACGUUGCUCGGCAUUAUUGGGCGUAAAGGGCUCGUAGGCGGUUUGUCGCGUCGGGAGUGAAAACACGGGGCUUAACCCCGUGCCUGCUUCCGAUACGGGCAGACUAGAGGUAUGCAGGGGAGAACGGAAUUCCUGGUGUAGCGGUGAAAUGCGCAGAUAUCAGGAGGAACACCGGUGGCGAAGGCGGUUCUCUGGGCAUUACCUGACGCUGAGGAGCGAAAGUGUGGGGAGCGAACAGG
This 253-nucleotide ribosomal RNA is filed under the name uncultured bacterium. Its description in RNAcentral is "partial 16S ribosomal RNA". It matches the Rfam family "Bacterial small subunit ribosomal RNA", at positions 524 to 776 of the family's 1533-position model. The record is from RNAcentral.